CUGAUGUGCGGACCUUCACUCAGCCUCACUCCGUCACUGGCAGUGUGCUUUUCAGGGACUGUCAGGAAGAGCCCGUGAACUCCUAGGACCCCUGGCCUUGGGGAGGCUGUUUGGAGCAGAAGGUUAGUAACAUCUGAAAGUUUGGAAGCUCCAUUAUGGAACAUUCGCUUGGUCACAUCGACCUUGUAGGUCCUUCCCAUAGCCUCCAGCCACAAAACUAGUUACUCAUUGGUGGGAAAUUCUUGGUGGGACUAGAAAUGAAGUUUUGCCUCUCUUGUGCUGCUGGAGUCCUCUUUCUAUCCAAGAGUAUGGGCUCUGGCUUCUGUGGGUUUUUUAUUUGCUUGUUUGGUUUUUUUCUUUGUUUGUUUUCUGCCAUUUCUACUGUUUAAUCAGAAAUUCUUUUUAAGCAUUUAUUAAUAGCAUCAUUUAGUUUCUAAUGGAGUCUCUUAUACUAUUGCUGCCUCCUCCAUAUUUUCAUGCAUGCCAGUCCGACUUUUUUUUAGCAGCUUUAUUGAGAUAUAAUUGAUAUUUUUAAAACUGCACAUAUUCAAUGUAUACAGUUUUGUGGGUUUCAACAUACAUGCACACUUGUGAAACCAUGACCACAGUCAAGAUAAUAAGCAUUUCUAUCACCACCAAAAGUUUUUUUCCUGUAAGGGCUCUGGUGGAGGAAAGCUUUUAUGGCAACAACAACAACAACAGCAACAGCAACAGCAGCAAUAAUAAUAAUAAUAAUAAUAAUAUUUAUUGUGUACUAGCUUGGGACCAGUGAGUGAGUGUUAUAUACUAUUAUUAGCCUCAUUUUCCUGAUAAAAAAAAUCUGAAGCUUAGGCAGGGCAAGGCGUCUUUCUAGAGCCACUAGCUACAAAAUAACAAAGGAAAGAAGAUCUGAACCCAGGUCAUCUUCCCUUUAAUAAUUAUUCUACAUAAAAUUGCCCUGUUCUUCUGACCUUGCCUUUGAUACUGAGUAUGAACACACCAACUAGGAAGAAUUCUCCUACACAAGCUCCUGGACAUUUUAAGAGGGAGAGAGAGUAUAAUUUUUUCCUAAGUAAUCAUUUUUAUACCCCUCACCUCAUGAUUCAUUGAAGAAAGGGUACAAAAUUCAGCAAAUUACCAGAAAGAACCAAUGAAAGAAAGAACAAAAGCAAGCAAGCAAGCAAGCAAGCAAGAAAAAUGUCAACACUAGACUACUACUAAUAUUUUGAGAUUUUUUUCCUGUGGUAUUUCUCUAAGGCAUAAUGUUGAAGCACAAAGACCCAAGGAAAAAUGUAAGAACUUGAACCUUUACUUGAAACUCAAGUAGCUUCUCUACCCUGGCGGAGCGAGUAUAGCUUGUUUAGGAAUUCCAAUGGAGGCAAAGGUCCAUAGGUUAUAGGACUAAGAUUAGAAGACGUGUGUGAAAUAGAAAAACAAUGAGGUCUCUGGAUUUAGAAGUUCUGCAAGCUGGUUUCAUCUGGCUCAGGACCGUGGGCGGUUGCAGGUGCUGAAAGACACGUGUGACUCUGGAAUGCAGGUGCUGGACCUAGAGUGUGCUUCAGUCUCAGAGUCUCUUCCUAGGAUCUUCACUGUCUGACAGUUCUGAUUAAGUCACUUAGGGAAAGCCAGUGGAUACAGUUGCGGUUCUGUCAGUGACAGAGGGAAUCAUAAUUCAGAGAAAGUUUGAAAGAGUACAGUUAGAAAGACAAGAGUCAAGAUAGGAUAGAACGUCAUGACCUACUUGAUGAUACGUCAUUGGCAUCCAGCCCUUUAACAAUUGUCAUUAGCAACAUGGUGUGGCGGUAGAUGGAGAUAAGGACUAGUAGGAUUGGCUGGUUUUUUGUUAUGUAUUUUGCUCAAUAUCUCUUCUUUUACACUCCGGUGUAGACCUUUUUAUUUUUAUUUUACUUUAAUUUUUUUAACAUUUAUUCAUUUAAAAAAAUUUUUUUUUCAACGUUUAUUUAUUUUUGGGACAGAGAGAGGCAGAGCAUGAACGGGGAGGGGCAGAGAGAGAGGGAGACACAGAAUCGGAAACAGGCUCCAGGCUCUGAGCCAUCAGCCCAGAGCCUGACGCGGGGCUCGAACUCACGGACUGCGAGAUCGUGACCUGUCUGAAGUCGGACGCUUAACUGACUGCGCCACCCAGGCGCCCCAAACAUUUAUUCAUUUUUAAGAGACAGAGCACAAGCAGGAGUGGGGCAGAGAGAGAGAGGGAGACACAGAAUCCGAAGCAGGCUCCAGGCUCCAAGCUGUUGGCACAGAGCCCGACGCGGGGCUCGAACUCAUGAACCUCGAGAUCAUGACCUGAGCUGAAGUUGGACGCUUAACCGACCAAGCCCCCAGGUGCCCCUGGUGUAGACCUUUUUAGACAGAUAAUUUUGACAUCUGAUUAUCUUCUACAAUUUGUGUUAAGACUUUCUUGUGAAAGAACAAUCUGUUUCUUAAUUUUUCUGCAAAUAUAAAUUUAAUUUCACCUAAAAACAAUUCUUCUGAGGUCUUUUGUUUCUACCACUAUCAUAAAAUUUGUGCAAGAUUCCAAGAAAGCAUGCAGCUUUAUUCUAACCUCAGAAGAUGUAUUAAGGAUGCAAGACAAAGAAACAUAGAACAAAUAAUAAUAGAAGGUGUUAUAGGUCUCAAAAUUAUAAGGGAUGGUUGUGUUGGAGAUAAGAGACACCCAUUCCUUAGGACAUUCCAUUUGAUGGCCCAUGGUAUAUGGAUUUCAAACUGUAGGUCUCAAGUUUUUAGUGGGUUGCAAAAAUUAAUUAAGUUGAUUAUGUCCACCAUUUACAAACUACAGUAGAAAAUAUCAAAGUGCACUACGUGUCAGAAGGUUGUGCAUGUCAUGGACUUAUUUUUCAUUUAUAAACAAACACACACAUGCACAAGUGUAUGUGAUGGGUUUCUUUAUAAUAUGUAUUCCUUCUCAUGGAUUCAAUCAAGCAAGUUUCAAAGAUGCUCCAUUAGCCAAAGUAAUCCACAAACUAGAUCUUUGUAGCUAUCAUGUAUCAAAAGCCUAAAAAUUUCCAGGGCCAUUAGUAAUAAUGCUUAAAAAAACUUCUCAGGAAAUCACAAUAACAACACUCCUAGGGCAUGAGUCAGCCAGAGGACCGUCUUCAUAACAGCUAGCAUUUCUUGAGCACUGCUCAUGUGUUGGGCAUUGUGCUAAAUAUUUUUCAUACAGUAUCUAAUUUACUUCUCAUAGCAAUGCUAUGAGGAGGCUAUUGUUCUUAUUUUUCAGAUGAUAAGCUGAGGUUUCAAGAUGUAGAGUAACUUGGUCCUCGUCACUCAGCUAGUAGAACUCAAUCCCAUGCCUGUCUGCCUCCUCCGGAGACAAGGCAUUUCACUACCAUACUACAUUAUUUUUCAAGAACGAAUCCCUCGUGGAAAGCUAUACGAUUUGCAAAACUUCUUUUUGCUGUCUGACUCUUUUGCAAUGUUUUUCAGUUAGCGCUAGGAUAACUCAACCCCUUUUGAUCCUUACAGAAGGCUCCUAAAGGGCGUUUCUAUGGUUAUGGGUGUGUAGGGUGGGGUGCUGUUGGGGGACGUUGAUUCCCACUCUGAUUCUACACAACCUGUUCCGUCCUUGUACAGACUCUGUCCUAACAGGCCCAAAGUCUCAGAUUGUAAGGUAAGCCCUAGAAGGGAUGGGAAGGGAUGUGAAGUUGGGCAGCAUGUCGAGUGGGAGGCUGAAAAGAGGAGACACACUGGCGAUAAAGAUGGUGAGAGCUGGGGUGCCUGGGUGGCUCAGUCAGUUAAACAUCCCACUCUUGGUUUUGGCUCAGGUCGUGAUCUCACAGUUCAUGAGUUCAGGCCCUUAGUCGGGCUCUGUGCUGACAUCACGGAUCCUGCCUGGGAUUCUCUCUCUCCCUCUCUCUCUCUCUGUCCCUCCCAUGAGCACUUUCUCUCUCAAAAUAAAUAAACUUAAAAUAAAAAAAAAAAGAUGGUGACAGCUGUGGGCCAGCAAGAUGAGAACCCUCUUCCAUCUCCUCUUUGGAAUCUUCAGGAACAUCGUCAACCUAAUGCAUUGUAAGGUUGAGUCUUUAUUUGAGUAUAUAAAGAAGCAAAUUAGUACAGUGUGAACACAGGUCUCCUCACCAUGAGACAGUCAGUAUGUAUUCUCUUCCUUUUCUCCCUUUCCCUUUUUUCCUUCCUCCUUCCCCUGCCCUCCUUCUGUCCCCUCCCUCCUCUCUCUCUCCCUCUCUCACUCAUUUACUCACAUGCAUUGUAUAUAUUUAUGGACAAAUUUUCCUUGUAUAGAUAUGUAAUAUAUGACAAAACAUACCAAAAUCUUAACAGUUUUUACUUCUUCAUGGUAGGAUUACCAAUCCUUUUUAUUUUUAAUUUUUAAUAUUUUUUGUAUUUUUUAAACUUGUGUGAGGAUCAUUAAUUUUGUCUCCAGAAAAAAAUGAAAGUAAAUAGCUCUUUAUCAGUCAUUUCAUCUUAGACUGUUUUUUUUUAAGUUUAUUUAUUUAUUUUGAGAGAGAGUGAGCAAGUGAGCACGUGAGCUGGGGAGAGGCAGAGAGAGAGGUAGAGAGAGAGUCCCAAGCAGGAUCCAAGCUUUCAGCACAGAGCCCGAUGCAGGGCUUAAUCUCAGGAACCCCGAGAUCACGACCUGAUCUCACAAACCGUGAGGUCAUGACAUGAGCCGAGAUCAAGAGUCAGGUGUUGACUCUUAACUGACUUAACUCUCUUAACUGACUGAGCCAUCCAGACACCCCAUCGUUUUAGAGUUUUAGAGGGAGAAGAAAGGGAGAAAGACUUGUGAGGGCACCCGGUAUUUGAAAGGAGCUAAAUGGGGGUGCUAGAAGGAAAACCAGAGGUCCCAAAUCUUCCCAUAUUUCACUGUCACUGAGGGAUGAUUGGUUAAGGGCAUUAGAAAAGCAUAAAUAUAGCAUCUAUUUCCUCUCUGAAAUCCCUGGAGGGAAAGGCGUGGGUGUAGGAGUGCGGGGUUGAUGAGGCAGUUUGGUUUCCCACGUUCUGUGCUCCCACAGAGCAAAGAGAUUACUUUAAACAUGAGAAGGUGGGGAAACGGAUAUUGAACACGGGCUUCUGCAUUUUUGCUUUACCUUCCUUUAAAAUACUAUUAUCAUAUUUCAAUGUCCCCCUGCCUGUGCUGGUUUCAGACAGUCUGAUUUCUCUAAAUCUCAAAUUGCCAUUUUAUAGAGGGUUUGUUUCAUGUAUGUUUUUUUUAUUUUAUUUAUAUUCUUAUUUUUUUAGCAGUGGUGAAAAUAUUAAAUGAAGAGAAAUGAGGAGAGAAAGAGAGAAUAGACAAAAGGUCUGAGGUCCUUCAUCCAGGGCAAGGAAUAUUUAGGAAGUGCUUACUUGACACUAUUCAGGGUAGCAGCAGAUCAAAGAAUAAGGUGGAAACCCUAUCCCUCAGGGGCACUGUCUAAUACAGCGUGUAUUGGGGUGCCUGGGUGGCUCCUUCGGUCAAGCGUCUGACUUCGGCUCGGGUCAUGAUCUCAUGGUUCGUGGGUUCGGGCCCCACAUCGGGCUCUAUGCUGACAGCUCAGAGCCUGGAGCCUGUUUCGGAUUCUGUGUCUCCCUCUCUCUCUGCCCCUCUCCCACUUGCUCUCUGUCUCUCUCAGUCUUUCAAAAAUAAAUAAAUGUUAAUACAGUGUGUAUUGUUCCAGCAGCACUUACAAUCACCUGGGGGGCUUUCGAUAAACACUGAUGCCAGAACCCCACCCAGACCAUUUGACCAGAAUCUUCAGGAGUAGGGUCAGAGCAACAGUAUUUUUUUAUUAUGCUUUUUAUUUCAAUUCCAGUAUAGUUAUCAUACAGUAUUAGAGUAGUUCCAGGUAUAUAAUACAGCGAUCAACAAUUUUAUACAUUACUUAGUGCUCAUCAUGAUAAGUGUGCUCUUAACCCCCACCACCUAUUUCACUCAUCGCCUCCCCCCGCCCCCACCUCCCCUCUGGCAAUCACUAGUUUGUUCUCUAUAGCCAAGAGUCCCUGGUGAGUCAUGACCGAGGAGGAAGAGAUCAAUUUUGGCUUGGGAGGGGAUGGAUGUCUCCUAAACGGAUCCCAGAAGAAGGAACACUUAAGCUGAAUCUGGAAGGAUUAGCAGUUCACCAGAUCAGACAAAGGGAGUGGGGUGCCAAACAAUCAGCCUGGGGAUGGCGUGCAAAAAAAAUCAGCCCGGAGGACUGAAAUGCCAGAGUAAACCCUGGAACUGCGAAGGGAAAGGCAGGCAGUGUCCUAGUUCGCUAAGGCUGCCCUAACAAAAUACUGCACAUUGAGUGACCUAAACAGACAGAAAUGUAUUGUUUCCUAUGCACUGGGCACGCAGCGUGGAGCUUGCAGCAUAGUGAUUUGUUCUGGUGCUACAGGCCGAAGAUAAGACUUUACACAUAGACAAGGAGCCCGGAAGAGACACGGCGACCGGAGGAUACGCCAGGCGGGAACGGGAAAGGGGGAGGGGCUUAGAAAGUAACACAGAGGUGGAACUGGGAGGAUGCUGGGUGUUUUUCAAACAGAAAUGGGGAUGUCCAUCUGUCAGGGGGGAAGAGUGAGUUCAGUUUCAGGUUUGCUGAGAAUGAGGUGAUAGAGGACGUCCUGUGGAGACCCCUGCAGACCCCGAGAGACACAAGCCUACAGCCUGAGGUGAGUUGGGGCUGGAGACCUGGAGAAAACGCCCACCACGGGGAAGCAGAGAAUCGAGACUCCGAGCCGUUCCUGGUCCAGAGGCAGCAGCAACGAUCGCAAAAAGGACAACAGGGAGCUCCUCCAUUUCACUCUCCUGGUACAUUAAUCCUCUCCUGUCCCGCCAGUGCACAGCCUCUAGUUCUGGAGGCCAAAGAGAAAUGGUGUCUUGGCUGCUUCUGGGCCAGCUAGGAAGGCUGUGACCACUAAGGCGCUGAGUCUCUCAAAGGCCACCACGGGCUGUGUGAAAGUGUUGGAAACCAGUAUCCCUGGGCCGGCGGGUAUGUUGUCCUUGAAAGACUGGAAAUUUGAGCCGCCAUCAAAAGCAUGGCCAUUUAGUUUACCUUAACAUGCAUUUCAAUAUUCUGCUGGGCCACUAAGAAGAGAAAAAUAAGGCCUCUGGGGGUAUUGGGGACCCGCCUGAGUACAGAAUGACUUCCUUGGGAGUUCCCUAUAAAAGUUGGCUUACCACUGCUCCCUUCCUUUCCACAGGCAGAUCUAGGCUAAAGCCUGUGUCCCGCAAUUUGGGCCAUUAGGCCGGGAAAGCUCCUCGAAUGACACAUGGAAAGAGUACUGGAUGAGCAGUUAGGAGACCCCAGUUCUAAUCCCGGUCAGCUUCCGGGACACUCAGCAAAUCACUUUGCAGACGCCGAGAAGAAACAGACCCUGUGUCUAUUUCUUCAUCUCUGAAAUGAGAGAGGCAGACUAUAUUCUCUCUGAAGUUCUUUAAAGCUCCAAAAUUCCUUGAAUUGUGUGUCGUAACUGGAGCGCGGACUGAGGAUAUACCUGAAGCGGGCAGGUCAGUCUGAAACCGGUGGUUUUGUGAGGACGGACAGGUGACUUGAUUCUCUUCUUGCUGUUUUGCCUUCUUUGGCCCCAACACCGGUUUCCUUUCCUGUUGUCCUCUGUCACCUGAUGUUUCCUCAGAGAACUAGAAUUCUCUGAGAAUCCUCAGAGAACUAUAAUUUAACAAAAAUUGCUAAAUGCGAGCAGUUGGGACUCGAUUGACUUCUCGGCGAUUCAACCACACAGUUGCUCUAAGAAUAUAUUUGCCCUUUCUCAGCCACUGUGGUACCACAGACAAACUUCUCCCGUGGCAGCGGGCCCCAGUUGCCAAGUCAUGCAGGUAACAGGCAGGCUGUUUCCCUGGUCAUGGGGGUUUUUCUGCUGUGCUAUGAAAGGAAGGCAUUGUCAGCUUUAUUAUUAUUUUCGAAUGAAAAUGUUUUGAAUCAUUUGUUUGAUGACUUCCUCCCUAGAAUGGGGUGGAGUUGUGACUAAGUUCAGGGAGGGCCUUCCAGGGCAGAUGAAGCCUGCUGGUACUUAUGGGAGGACACUUUUUCUUGAACAGUAAAUACCUCGCCUGACUAAUUCCAGGCAACCACGGGACAGUCAUUCCAUGUUCCACUGCUUGAAUUUUGGUUCUUGAGAUACAAACACGAGACCAGAGAAUACUAGACCCACGUUUCAUAGAGGGUAAAUACAUGCCUCUGGUAUCUGAAGGAAGAUACUGGGUAUCUGCUAACCUCUGUUUUUCCACAUGGUUUCCUUCCUAAUACUUCCAAUUUCCCCAACAUAUAAUGCAGAGUAGUAUCUAAUGCUAGAGACUGGUGUUGGGCUGAGUUAGGAUGCUUUGGGGCACAGAUACUUCCAAAGAGCAGAAGCAAUACUAUAUUUUACAAAUCCUGAAUUCCAUUUCUCCUAUUUUUAAAAAAAUUUUAAUGUUCAUUUUUGAGAGAGAGAGAGAGAGAGACAGAGGGAGAGCAGGGGAGGGACAGAGAGGGAGACACAGAAUCCGAAGCAGGCUCCAGGCUCUGAGCUGUCAGCACAGUGCCUGACUCAGGGCUUGAACCCACUAAUUGCAAGAUCAUGACCUGAACUGAAGUUGGACACUCAACCGACGGAGCCACCCAGGCACUCCUCUCUAUUUGUUUUUAUUUUUAUUUUUUAGGUGAAGUAAGAAAUCUUUUAUCUUAUCUUAUCUUAUCUUAUCUUAUCUUAUCUUAUCAUCUUAUCUGCCGCAAUAUUCCAACAAAAACCAAGCUAUUGAAGAGAUUAGGCAUAGUUUUGAAUCCAUGGACAAGAUACCUUAAACAGGUAUAAAAUUGCAGGAGGACCAUAGGGAAAUGAACUUUCCGAAUUCUGAAGUUAUAGAAGGAAAUUGGAGAACGCAUAGCAUCCACCACCACCACCCCCCCCCCCCCCCCGCCGCCCCCUGUCCACCCCCCACCUUGUUCCUCAGUCCGGGGUUCCAGGUAAAUUUAGGAAGCCAUGUUAGGUGUAGGGAUUACAAGGCCAGCUGAUUCUGUAACUCCCUUUGGAAGGACGUUUCAAGUAACCUUCAUAGUCAUUUUCUUUCUUUCUCCAUUCUGUCUCCUUUUCUCUAAUUAGGUUGCAUACGCUCCGAAAUGUAACAAAUGUUUGAGAAGCAAGAUCUAAUCAUUCAUCAGACUUAUUUUCUAAGUUAAAUGGCACAAAUUUCUUAAUCUUUGCUUCGAAUCUUUAAAAAAUAUUUUUAGACAUCUGAUGAAUUGUCGGUUUAUUGCUAAUUCCUAGAACUUUCUCAUUUCAUAACAACUCUCAAAUUGUGAAGAUUCCUCUCAGAUCAGCUCCUGCAUAAUUCCGAGCAGAAAUACACACGUGCAUAAAAGCCCCAAGUGACCCCUCACCUGCCCAGAGAGCUCUUUAUGGGGACAAUUUCAUAGGAACAAGCAUUCUGACAAGAGCCAGCCAGAAUCAGCAAAGGAGGGGACAGAAAAGCUGUAAAGAGCAAACAACAGACUGACCAAAUGCAUUGGGCUGGGGCCAGUUAUAAAAAGACCAAGUAGUGCUAUACAUUUCUUGGCUGCUAGGCAUUCAGUGGGUUUUAAACACCUUAAAAUCAAUAAUUGAUUUUCACCAUAAUGACCAUGGUCAUUUAGAAAAGAUGCUGUUCACAAAGGGUAUGAACCAUAUCAUCCAUUUAAAGGGUUGGAGAAGUGUGUUUCUUACUCUAGAAUGCUCUCCAACUGGGACGCCUGGGGGGCUCAGUCAGUUGAGCCUCUGACUUCAGCUCAGUUGAUGAUCUUGCGGUCCGUGAGUUCGAGCCCCGCAUCAGGCUCUCUGCUGAUAGCUCAGAGCCUGGAGCCUGCUUCGGAUUCUGUGUCUCCCUCUCUCUCUGCCCCUCCCCCACUCAUACUCUGUGUCUCUCAAAAAUAAAUACAUGUUAAAAUUUUUUUUUAAAAAGGAAAGGUUUAGAACGCUCUCUAACCAAGUUUAUUCAAGCCAAUUUAGUCUUGGCAUGAAAAGUGGUCAAUUAGUUAGCAGUUUUGCUGAUGUGUAUUGUUAGAAAAAGAUAAGCCAAGAGAUUUGUUGUUGUUGUUGUUGUUAGCAAUGCAAAAAGAAAGGGACAGUGGUGGGGAAAAAAAAGGAGGGACAAGUCCCCCUGGGCAAUUGGGAAUAGGUAGAGGACUGGGUAGAACUAGGUAGGGUGUAGGAAGGACGCGCCUGACUCUGGGCUUUUAUUCUGCUCAGAAAUUUAUUUUGAACACUCGAAUUGAAAAUGUACAGCAACCUCUGGGUUUAAAAUGUUACCACGAGUCCUCUGGAGGUUGUAAUAGUGUAGAGCAGGGGAAAGUAAAAAAAAAGUUUCACCUCAAAAGUACCUCCCCAUAUGGCCAGUAACUUCCUGGCUUUUAGCAUAAGCCACCCCGUCUAGCGGACUGCACAUCAAGCUUCCAAGGACGGACGGGGAAAAAUUCCAGGAAAGCCACUAGUGUGAAAUUAUACCUAUAUGCACCAAGUGACUUAACUCCGAUGAUGAAUUCACCUUUCUCUAUCAAGAUCACUUGUUUACUUGGAUCUUUAUCAAAUGUGGAGCUUAGGUCACAUCCUCCUUGAGGUCACCAACUUGAACUCAUCUCAGCCCUGCAAAGCUCUGCAAACGUUCUCAGUAAAUGAUUCACCCAACAUUCACGUAACACAUCCUCACCGAGGGCCAACGACGUGCCAGGCAGUGUUCUAGGCCUGAAAGAAAUAGACCAAAAUUUCCACCCUAAUGGACAUCACCUUUCUAGAGGCUAUAUAUAGUUUCUGUAUGUGCUGUAUUUUCUGGUUUCUAACCAAAAUGAAAUCAAAGAGAAUGAAAUGUGAAGCAAGAACAAAAAACAUUGAUGAAAAAACAGUCCAGCUGCACUGGAGGCCUCGGCGGUGAACUCUCCCCAGAUCUGGCUCUGUAGCAGGAGUACAGUGGGAGGCCUCACCCAAGGCUCCUCUGAAUUAGUGUUCCAGGUACGAGGUCCAGGAAUCUGUUUUCUCAAAAGCUCCAUACGUGAUUCUGAUGUGGCCAGUCCAGAACUCUGCCCAAACUUGUGUUUGGAAAUCACUGAGCUAGAUGUUCUCCUGAUAUUUGUGUCUGUCAGCCUUCUAGCAGGAAACAAAAAACACAUUCAGUUGGAUAAAUUGAGAGUUUACAAUGGGAUGAUUUAUGAACGUGUGGUCAGGCUAUUGGGAAACCCCAGAGGAUGGUGCAGAGCUCCGAGGCUGGUCAAGGAAGUAACCAUCAACAUCUCCAAGCCUGAAGGAGUGACAGGAGCAGGGAGGCAGGGACCUGGAGUCAGAGAGGGCUGGGUAGAGAGGGCUCUGGACAGGAGCUGUGACCUUCAGUUCUGGGAAGCAGUCAGCUGGCUUGAGCCCAAUCCAAGGGCCAGAAGUCCACUGACGUCAACCACAGAGGCCAGCCUCCAGGGCACAAGGACGGAUGGAGAAAAAGAUGGACGGUGAAAUUGGACAGGCAAAUAAAGAUGUUCAGCUCAAGGCUCAAUCUAUGAAAAUAGGAAUAUAUGCAAAUAUAGUACCCAAAUUAAUCUAAAGCCAUAUUCCUAAUACUUCAUGGCAAAACUGUUUUCAUGAGCCAUCUAACUCUUAGCCUCUUGCUAACUUUUCCUGGUACCCCAGAGAUAACAAAACGGUAGGUAUUUGUUCUUCUUCUUGUUUUUCUUUUGAUAGCAGGUAAUAUUUAUUGAGUAAUCAUUAUGUUUCAUAUAUUGUGAUCAUUUUAAUUUAUAAAAUAAGACUUUGAGUAGAAAUUGUCAUUUUCCUGAAAAGGAAAUUAAUGCACAGAGAGGUUAAAAACUUUACCUUGGGUCACACAGUCUAUAAGCCUAAAGCCAAGCUUCAGGGUCAGAUUUGUCUUAUAUCAACGCCCAUGCUGUUAACCCUUAUGUGAUUUUGUGAAGCCUCUCCAAGAAAACGCAAGGCACAGUCUCCCUCAGUGACUUGGAAGGUUAUUCUCUAGACCUUUUGUCAAGAACAAGAAACCACAAUUUCUUGUAUUUUUUAAAUACAGUCUCAUAUUCAUUCAGUACUUAACCAAUUUUUGUGUUUGAUAAAUAUUAUAUAUCUCCACAUUCAUACUCAGGAAGCAACGUGGGCCUUGUGGAUUGGCCAUUUACUAGCUUAUGCAUUCAUGGUUCCAGGCUGAAGCACUGGGUUGGUACCUUAUCUCUGUGCUCUGCUGGUACUUCUGUGUUCAGAACACAACUAGCUUGACCAACCAUCCCAGUGUGUCCCAACUGAGGGGUUUCCUAGGCCAUGGGACUUUCAGUGUGAAAACCGGAACAGCCCCAGGAAAAAAAGCAGGAUGGUUGGUAAAUGCCGGUUUGUUUGCUUGCUUGCUUGUUUGUUUUCAAGAUAGUUUCAGCUUUGUAAUCGAGAGCCUCACAACAAAUUCUAAAAACACAUUUAAAAACAUUUUAAAAGUCCAAUUUUCUUCACAUUUCCCCCCCCGUUUAGGCCUUGGUUAGAUCUGUUCCUGCAGUACUCAAGGUCUAGUCUCUGGUCCUUAUUUAAGACAAAUAGGCUGAGGCACAGAAGUCACAGGAUAGCACAGUGGACAGAGAACUCAAAGAAGGUUCAGCCCAGGCAAGUUAUCUGGGCGGCCAAAGACGGGAUGGCAAGUGAUGAAGGAUGUGGCUCGUCCUCAGUACAGCCCAGAUCUUCAUCCGCAAGGUCAGUCCUAGGCAUGUGGUACUUGCCUCCAAACACAGAGCUUAUUACACGAUGUUGUCAUUGCUUGUUUAUUACUUGUCUCCCUUGGUAGACAAAGAUCAUUGAGGACAAGGAUUUCAGCCAUCUCGGGAUUUAAACUGGGCCCUUUCCAUGGCUGCAGCCCAAUGAGUUGUUGGGUAAUAUCCGGGACACAAGGGAGGUGCAUUUACCCAAGAUUUGUUUCUGCAUUUUCUCUACUCAUUGUAGAACUUGGCUCAGGUAUCACCUUUGAAACAUGUAAGACACUGGAGGAAGGGAUGGGGAAGCAUGGUGCCUCACGUUGUAGGAGAAUUUUCUGCUAAGGAAGUUUCCAGUCUCAUUCCCCAAAGAUUGCUGUGUCUCGGGAGACUCUGCCCACUCCCUUCCAGCUCCACAAGAGUCAGGGUACAAAGAUAAAGACAGCCCAGGGUCCCUAGAUUAGCUGGCUUUCUGACUCUCACAUUGGUCUUCACCCUUCCUUAUUUUCUGGGGGGGGGUGCCAGACCAAUGAAAAAAACGUUUCUUUUUAAGGAGGCAAAGAUUUGGUUCAAGUAAGUGACUGAGGCUUCUGUAGAAAACCUUGCAGGAAUCCAACCGUCCUGUGUGGUAUUAUUAAAGGUAGCGAGAGAGAUGUUGAGGAAGGAAGUAAUUCUUACAAAGCAAUUAUUUUGUGCCAGGAACAGCGCUAGUGUUUUAUAUGUCCAAAUGAGUUUAUUCUAUGCCAAGCUAUUAUGCGAUUCAUUAUCGUUUCUAUUUACAAGUACGGCUUAUCCAAAGUCGUGUAACUAGCGAGAGGCAGAGGUAAGAUCUGAAACCACGUCUAUUAACCUCAAAAAACUCCAUCCUUGUUUGCUAACACACAGUUGUGAAGCAUCACCGCUGCCUCCUGGUGGCCCUGAAAGUCUCUGGACCGGCUCCUUGGGCAACCAGGUUUCUUCCAGUGUCCGAUGUUACCCAGGUAGUCAGCAUGACCAAGAAAUGUUGAGUAUUUCCAGAGGAAGCCUACAAGAUGCAUGGAGCUAAUAGGAGGUGAGGGAACCUCUGUAAGAGGAGGACCUGAAGAGUAGCCAAACCCCUGGCUUUGGGACUUCCUUAUAUUAGCAGGGGGAAGAAAUCCCAUUUAUAAGUGCUAAUGAAGUCUCUGGUUCAAUUUCACAAGUAUCAAUUAUUCACAGAGAAUUAGCAACUGCUGAGGAUCUCCCCACCCUGUUCAGCCAACAGCUGGCAUUCAGCCGUGCCCAACCUUGGUGUUUGGGUUUAGUCUUUUGAAGAUCAGUGCCCUCUGGAGGUUGAAGUUAGAGAAGCAAAUGCAAGAGAGAAAAAGGACCCUCAAAACCUUUUCUGCUUCUGCUCCCUAAGUCCCUUCCUUGAGGUACAUUAAAACAUAGGCUGGGGAGUUUGGAGGAAAAAAUUAUUUUUCUAGUGUGACCCGAGUGUGAAAUACCAUGACACCACUCUACUGGGUUAGUCAUGAGGAAAUCAGGAGGUUCCUCAAGUCCAAGCCCCAGGUGCUGGUUUGUUCCCCGUGCUGGCUCUUCCCACAUGCUCUAUCCUAUUGGACUGGCUAAUGAGGCCUGGGAAGUAAGCCACCAGCAAAGCAGAUUCCCAGUGAAAAAAGCAGUACCACUACGCAUUGAAGGACUCAGUGCCAAUGUCGGGGUUUUCUUUGUUGAGAAACAAGAAAGUUCGGCGUGCAGAUUUGGAUUAACAUCAUGACUCCAUUCCUGCCUGGCCGUCCCAAGGCAGUGGUGACAGGGGCUGGGGAGAAACCAGCUUAACAUUUGUGAGCACCAACUGUGUGCCAAGCCCUACUUUAACUCAUUGAUUUCCUGAAGAGGAAGAGUGCUGUCCUUUGGUUCUUUAAAUUCCUUGGUGAAUUUAUUUCUGAAGGACUAACUUGUCCCUUCAAUAGGAUGGCCCACAGCAGACGAGCUGCUUCAGGUGAGAGCGUGCAGCAAGGAAAGGAUGUGGUAGCACAGUCCCAACAGGGUGAUCUUGUGCCUGUGGUUAGGGUGGAGGGGCAUGGGAGGGACUCCCAGUCUCUAAGCCUCCUCCUUUUUGCUCCCGGCAAGAGUGAUUUAGGAAGGUCAGACUUACCAAUCAGGUCUAGGAUGCCUCUGCGACUAGUCCGGCCCUGACUUGAACGCCCAUGUGGAUAGCUGGGCUUUGAUUGUGCUCCUUGGUCUCAGAUCUGUGCCUUCUUCUGUGGCUGAGGCCUUGACUUGGUAACUGAGGCAGAUGGUUGGUGUCCCCACCCAUGUUCUCCCACCUUAUACCAUUUCUGAGUUCACUGGUUCAAUUUGUAACCACCAGCACCUGCAUCCACUGGCCUGCUGGCCUUCUUUAGAGGGAGGGAUCCGCUCUGGCUACAUGCAUACCAAGCCAGAAGUGCCGGAAGUGAGCUGAUGUCCACCUCUCUGGUAGUCUUUGACCAAUAACUAUAGGAAAUCCAAUGUAUCAUCUACAGAAUGUAAAGACAAUGUGAAACCCAGCACAUCUGGGAGAUCAUAUUCAGAGGCAAUGCUUAAAAAGUUUAUUCCUUGAUGGCGCCUGGGUGGCUCAGCCGGUUAAGUGUCUGACUCUUGACUUCAGCUCAGGUCAUGAUCUCACAGUUCAUGGGUCCAAGCCCCACAUCAGGCUCUGUGCUGACAGCAGGGAGCCUGCUUCUCUGCCCCUUCCCCACUUGCUCUCUAUCUCUCUCUCAAAAUAAAUAAAAAUAAACUAAAAAAAAAUGGUUUAUUCCUUUAGAAUGCCCAUGAGUGUCUUAAAGGCAAAGAUUGGCCCUUAACUAGUACUGAAAAUCCAAUGCCAAUUUCAGGUAAUAGUUCUCUAAAAAUCGCUGCUGUGGUGUUGGGCAAAAUAGUAUAGCAUUGAUUGGAAUCUAGUAUUGAGUGUGUGUAACAGACUGUGGUUUCUUCCAUUCAAUCCUAGUAAUUCAGAAUUGGUUUUGUAUUAGUUAUCACCCUCUGCGUAACAAAUUACCCCAAGCCUGGUGGCUUCAAACCAUAAUAAUUUAUUACCUCUCACAGUGUGGGUCAGGAACAUGGGAGUGACUUCUCUGAGUGGUGGCUCAGGGUCUCUCGUUAGGUUGUAGUUAGACAUUGCUGAGGGUGCAGUCAUUGGAGGGCUUGACUGGGGCCGCGGAUCCACUUCCUAGGCUGCUCAUUGACAUGCCUGCCUAUAGGUGAGAUGUUGUAGGUGUUCUUCAUGUGAGCCUCUCUGGAGAGCUGCUUGAGAAUUCUUAUGGCAUGGUGGCUUACUUACCCCAGAGGGAGUAAUCUAAGAGGCCAAGGUAGGAGCUGCCGUGUCUUUUCUGACCUAGCCUCUGAAAUGACAUAUUGUCAUUUCUGCUCUACUCCAUUGACCACACAAAUCACUACUGAUUCAGCGAGGAGGGGGGCUACAUAAGGGCGUGGAUAGCAGGAUGCGAGGAUCGUUAGAGAUCUGGAAGCUGGUCAGCGUGGGUUUCUAGGGUAAAGUUCAUUCUACACGGUGUUUGAGGUGAGGACCAUGUGGAACAACAACAGAUUCACGUUCCACUGGAAAGUGCCUGUGGACUGGACAGCCAGAAACAUUUAAAAUGUUUUUUCUUACUUUAUAAUCUCCCGUAAUGCUACCUAUGACAACAGAUCAUGAUCUGUAAGCUGUUUUGUUAAAUAUCCUACAGCCUCCAGUAAAGCUUUGCCUAACAUGGAGGCAGAAACUCCUCAGAAAUGUAUAUACUGAGUCACACUUGAGCAAAACAGAGAGUUUGGCUUUUGACGGGGAAGUGUCACCUCUCAGAUGCCUUCCCUUUUAAAACCGCCUUAAAGCCCUAACCUCCAUGAAUUCGCAGAGAUGUAAGUCAGAACCUUGAGCCCAAGAGUCAGGCUAGGGCAUGGUCUGGGUAUUGCUACCUGUAGACAUUUUCUGGGCCAGGAUAUGGCUGCACAGUGGAGCCCUUUGUUAUGCUCUGGGCAGAUGGAGUCCACUGGCCUGAUUGCUUCAGGGCUCAUUUCCUGAACGGGAAGGUUCUACCACCUGGUGGAUGGAUCGCUCCAAAACAAACAGGCGUCACGCUCCAAACCUUGAGCCCUGUGCUGAGCCCUGAAAGCUGGGGAACAGAGACGAACCAGGGAUACAUCAUCAGUGGUAUCAAAUACCACUGCUCCGAGAAGUUUUUACAUGAGUUCACUUCCUGCUACCAGAGGUCAAGUUCCCUCCGCAGGAAUGAAGGAAAAACAAAGCAAAGCAAAGCAAAACAAAACACCCCCAAACCUAAGGAGACCGCGUGGAAAGGAGCCAGGUAAAGUGACAUGGCAGCAAUAGUCAGGCUUAGCUUGUUUCUCAGUCGUGGACGUAGCCUGAAAACCCUACUCUUAUCUUAUGAGAAGUAGUCCAGUUAGCCAUUUAAACAUUCAGUGCUAUGGUACGUCUGCUUCGUGUUUUGCCGGUGAAAUAUAUUCCCUUUUAGCUUUUCCACAGUAACUUUCUGAGGUUGGUGUUAUUUGCCUCUGGCUCCUCUAACUAAAAUGGCCAACCCUCCCUCUUUCCUUCUCCUGCUUUAUUCAUUUUUUCAUAGAGCUUAUUACUAUCUGGCAUUAUAUCCCGUGUCCAUGUGUUUAUUUCUGAUUAUCGAUUUGCCUAUCUAAAGGUAAAAGGUCCACAAGAACAAGGAUUUGGUCUGUUUUGCUCUUAGCCGCAUUCCCAGAGCCUCGUCAAUGCUUCAUGAAUACUUGCUGAAAAAUAACUUUUUCAUUGAGUCAGCUAUGCAAGGUUAAAUGACAUUCUGCAGGCCCUUUGUGUCCAAAGUUGAUGCACUUUUUCCCUCCCGUGUUGUGCUGCCUCUCUCUUUUCUGUAUCCGGAGGCCAGAUUUUAGGAAACUGGGGCCACAAAGUUGCAAAGCUGAAUAAUGGAAGAGCUCACACUAGAACCCACCUCUUCUGGGGAUUUCAUUGCUCAGCCUUGAUUUUUGCUNCUCAUUGACAUGCCUGCCUAUAGGUGAGAUGUUGUAGGUGUUCUUCAUGUGAGCCUCUCUGGAGAGCUGCUUGAGAAUUCUUAUGGCAUGGUGGCUUACUUACCCCAGAGGGAGUAAUCUAAGAGGCCAAGGUAGGAGCUGCCGUGUCUUUUCUGACCUAGCCUCUGAAAUGACAUAUUGUCAUUUCUGCUCUACUCCAUUGACCACACAAAUCACUACUGAUUCAGCGAGGAGGGGGGCUACAUAAGGGCGUGGAUAGCAGGAUGCGAGGAUCGUUAGAGAUCUGGAAGCUGGUCAGCGUGGGUUUCUAGGGUAAAGUUCAUUCUACACGGUGUUUGAGGUGAGGACCAUGUGGAACAACAACAGAUUCACGUUCCACUGGAAAGUGCCUGUGGACUGGACAGCCAGAAACAUUUAAAAUGUUUUUUCUUACUUUAUAAUCUCCCGUAAUGCUACCUAUGACAACAGAUCAUGAUCUGUAAGCUGUUUUGUUAAAUAUCCUACAGCCUCCAGUAAAGCUUUGCCUAACAUGGAGGCAGAAACUCCUCAGAAAUGUAUAUACUGAGUCACACUUGAGCAAAACAGAGAGUUUGGCUUUUGACGGGGAAGUGUCACCUCUCAGAUGCCUUCCCUUUUAAAACCGCCUUAAAGCCCUAACCUCCAUGAAUUCGCAGAGAUGUAAGUCAGAACCUUGAGCCCAAGAGUCAGGCUAGGGCAUGGUCUGGGUAUUGCUACCUGUAGACAUUUUCUGGGCCAGGAUAUGGCUGCACAGUGGAGCCCUUUGUUAUGCUCUGGGCAGAUGGAGUCCACUGGCCUGAUUGCUUCAGGGCUCAUUUCCUGAACGGGAAGGUUCUACCACCUGGUGGAUGGAUCGCUCCAAAACAAACAGGCGUCACGCUCCAAACCUUGAGCCCUGUGCUGAGCCCUGAAAGCUGGGGAACAGAGACGAACCAGGGAUACAUCAUCAGUGGUAUCAAAUACCACUGCUCCGAGAAGUUUUUACAUGAGUUCACUUCCUGCUACCAGAGGUCAAGUUCCCUCCGCAGGAAUGAAGGAAAAACAAAGCAAAGCAAAGCAAAACAAAACACCCCCAAACCUAAGGAGACCGCGUGGAAAGGAGCCAGGUAAAGUGACAUGGCAGCAAUAGUCAGGCUUAGCUUGUUUCUCAGUCGUGGACGUAGCCUGAAAACCCUACUCUUAUCUUAUGAGAAGUAGUCCAGUUAGCCAUUUAAACAUUCAGUGCUAUGGUACGUCUGCUUCGUGUUUUGCCGGUGAAAUAUAUUCCCUUUUAGCUUUUCCACAGUAACUUUCUGAGGUUGGUGUUAUUUGCCUCUGGCUCCUCUAACUAAAAUGGCCAACCCUCCCUCUUUCCUUCUCCUGCUUUAUUCAUUUUUUCAUAGAGCUUAUUACUAUCUGGCAUUAUAUCCCGUGUCCAUGUGUUUAUUUCUGAUUAUCGAUUUGCCUAUCUAAAGGUAAAAGGUCCACAAGAACAAGGAUUUGGUCUGUUUUGCUCUUAGCCGCAUUCCCAGAGCCUCGUCAAUGCUUCAUGAAUACUUGCUGAAAAAUAACUUUUUCAUUGAGUCAGCUAUGCAAGGUUAAAUGACAUUCUGCAGGCCCUUUGUGUCCAAAGUUGAUGCACUUUUUCCCUCCCGUGUUGUGCUGCCUCUCUCUUUUCUGUAUCCGGAGGCCAGAUUUUAGGAAACUGGGGCCACAAAGUUGCAAAGCUGAAUAAUGGAAGAGCUCACACUAGAACCCACCUCUUCUGGGGAUUUCAUUGCUCAGCCUUGAUUUUUGCUGCCAUGGACAAGCUAAGGAUUUUGCUUCAGUUUAUGAAGUGAAUAUACUGAGGUUAGAAACGGUCCCCUUGCUUUUCCCACUGUGGCCGAUUUGCUUCUUGGUUGGUUCGUGGGUGUCUACAUGCCCUUAGGGUAUGACUCAGCAUUGUCACAAUCCACCCCUGUGCCACCUCUGUGGUAAACGUGGCACAUAAGGAAAGAGCUUGAAAGCAGUUACACACGGCUACUCAAACAUCUCCAUCUAGAAACCAUCUAGGUUUCUACAUGGGAAGAGCUUACGUCUACAGCUCUAGGCAAAACAUCUGAACCAGUACUGGGAUGAAGUCCUGUGGACGUUCAGAAUACAUCUCACUUGUCUUAUUUGUGUGUUUUCAGGGUCAUUUGACAAUCCUUUAUCCAUCUUUGGCUUGCCCCAGGUCUUCUUCUUUGCCCACCACCUGGAUUUCUUCUUUGCCUGUCUGCCUUGGUCUCUCCGGAGAGCCCAAAGUAGCUGUCAGGAUUGAAAACACCCAGUGAACACCCAAGAGCUUUGGUUGCCAAGUUGCGGAAGCCGCAGCAAUCACUCCCUUAUGGCCAUUUGCUCAUGGAGCCAAGAACAACCAAAAACAUCAGCUGGGAGUCGACCCUCACAAGCAAACAGAUUGGUCCAGCUUAUAGCUCAGAAAAGGCUUGCUGGGGGAGUCUGUUUCUUUUGAGAAGAAACACAUGUUUAUACCCAAACGAUGCAGUUCAGCGUGUUCCUCUUGGAAGGAUGCUGGAACCCAUGGGCCUUUAGCACUCCUUUGGUGGAUUUGUUACACUGGGCUCACCUUGCCCAACACUGCUGGGGUGAACUGCCUUUCUAAGUUCUCCCUCUGCUCUGUGCCUUAGGGGUCCACGAAAACAGCACCGCCUGGUCAACUACUAGAGAAAGAACUGCACCAAUUAGGCAGAAAAUAAAUGAGGGAGUUUUUUGUCCCCAGAUUACAUAGCAUCAAGAGUAAAUUUUCCCAAUAACUUGUCACAUUUCCAUAUUAUUUUUUUCCCGUGGGAAAGAGAGCAUAAAGGGAGAAGAAUCAAUGGAAAGAACUCAUGGGUCUUGGAAUGUGGGUUCAAAGCCCAGAUCUGCUAUUUACUGACUUUGUGCCCUUGAGUGAGGUAGACUGUUGCAGAAUCCCAGAGAGGUUAAGUAAUUGGGCCCAAACCAUGACACUAUUGAAUGGCAGGGUUGGAACUGGAGCCUGGAUUUUUUGAGAUUUGUUUAUACACCAUAUAUAAAAUGAGAUAUUAUAUUAAAACUUAAUAAGUGCUAGGUUUAUCAUUACUAUUUUUGUCAAACGCUCACUGAUUAUGUUAUAAAUACAGAGUUAGGUGAUUGGGAUACGAAGAAAAUAGGAAAUAAACCCUGACAUUGAGGGACUGUCAGAGACUGAGAAUCUCUUAGGGAUCUUGUGUUCUUUGGCACAUAAAACUUGCCUUCCUAAAAUAGAAAUAAUGUUCUCAUUAAAAAAAAAAAAGACAUUAAAAUAAUGUAAUUAGUAUUUCACUUGGUGAAGGAGAAAGUAUAAUGGAGGCUACCCCCAAAGCAUUGUGCAGAUCAAAUGAAAUAAUAUCUGAAAGAGGAGGUUGAAAAAUAAAAAGCAUGCUUUAGCUAUAAAGCAUUGUUGUUCUUGUCUAUUAUUGUUAAAUACCACUGCUGCAUCUAAGGUGCUGCAAUCCUUACAGAGAGGAGACUGAUAGAUGGUGCCCUCUAGAAGACAGGGUGUAAGAGGUGUUGAAUAAGGGAUAGAACAAGAAGAACCAUAACGAGUUCAGAGAAAGACCCAGCAUAUUAAUGUUUACAGAUUGUCUGAAACUCAGAGGUUCCUAGACUAAAACAAAGCACCUUGGAGACAAUUCAUCCUCGUGGUAUUUGAAGUGUAGACCUAAAGUAUUUGAAAGGUUCUUAAGUCAUCCAGUUUAUCUUGGAAGGGUGAGGUUGGGUACCAAGGGUACAUGUAAGUUUUAUCUUUACAGAGAGGAAAUAAAAGUCUCCUGUUUUGCCCAGAGUCAGACAGUAAGUUUGAGGUAGAGACCAAACAUCUCCAAGUUUGGUUAAUGGGAGUGGAAAGAAACAAGGGUUUAGAACCAAUCCCUCCCUUUACUAGUGAUGAGACUACAGACAAGUUACACUGAACCUUUUAGAGCAUCACUUUUUUUCCCCCAUCUGUAAAAGAAGGGAAAAGAACAAAGCAUCAAUUGCAUCACUUGAGUUGGUUUGGGGGAAAGUGAAAUAGGACAGGCAGGGAUACAUCUGGUACAGAACUGUGUGUCUUUCUAUCAUCUCCGUCAGUUGUGGUCAUGAAUUUAACCCCUUCUUUUCCCAGCUAAGGUAAUAAAUAGCUCACGUGUUACAGGCCAGAAGGAAAGGAGGUUGUAUUUCCCUCUUAACCGGAAUAAAAGUGUAACAGAGCUUGUGGGCUUUAUGUAUUCUCAGUAACUGUCACAGUGCCUAGAACUUAGAAGGUGCUCCAAAAAUAUUUAUGGAGCUGGAACUGUCACCAGGUUGUUAAUAAAACUGCAAAUUGUCUUUCCACCUGCCCUAUGCCAUUUUUACAUAAGGAGAAUUAUCCAACCAAUAUUAUUUGAGAGAGUUCUGGUUUUGGUUUGGUUAAGUGGUCUCUAUUGAGCCAACCUACAUAAAGAUAAAAACUGAGAACUCUGGACAAAAGAUACUGAAAAAAUUCAAUUACUUGAAGGUACCAAAAAGUGAAUAAAAGCACACAGAUAGUGGAAGAGUAUGACAACAGACAAAGUAGAGGGCACUGGGUAUGUUCUCCUUCUGCCCCUUUUUCUAAUAGCUGUUAGCCUGAGGGAAGAUCCCCGUCUGUGGCUUGUGGGGGUGAGUAAAGCAAGUGGAAAAUCAUAUCUUACUGGCUGGAAGAAGAGAAAACCCUGAAAAAGGAAAGGAACAGAGAAGGAAAGCCCCAAACUCUAGUUUCUAAACUGCCUAAAUCUCUGACUAAUCUCUGAAUCAUGCAUGCACAAGGAAUUGACUUUAAAAAAAAAAAAAAAUCAAUACUCUUCAGAGGAACAUAACAGAAUCCAGAUUCUCUAUAACAUGUUUUUCAUAAUGUCUGCCAUAUAAUCCAAAAUUAGUUGAUAUAUGAAGAAACAGAACAACAUCGUCUACAUAUAAGCAAAACCCCAAAUUAUAACAUUGUCAUGUGGAAUUUAUAAUGUAUGUAGAUGUAACACAUACUAGAACUAUAGUAUAAAUGAUGUGGAUUUCUGUAUUUUACAUGAAGUAGUACAAUAUUAACUUGAAGCUGAGUUUAACACAUUAAGAAUUCAAAUAUAUUGUAAUCUCUACAGCAAACACCAAAACCAUAAUGCAGUAGGUACGACUAGAAAGUCAAUAAAUUACAAUGGAAUUCCAAAUUAUCUUCGUUUGAUUCAGAUAUGAAUCUCACUGCAGAUGUGCAAACCCAUCCCACAGCAGGCUCAGAUUAUAACCAUGGAACCAAAGGGUAGCAAACUCCAGAUGUGAGCCUCCAAAACAGCUCCUCAGUGACCUGACUCCUUCCGGCCUUAAUGAGAACAAGAAGGAAAGAAAUGGAAUUCGGAAGGGACGUCCCAGAUUUAAGGAUGUGAGCAAAACUGAGGACACAUAAACAAAAAUGGGCGGAGUCACUAGAGUGGAAGGUGGGGAACGUGUAAGAAGCUCAGGGUGCUGGUGCUAUAAGCCUGAUCUCCGCAGCUGGUUGCCUUACCACUGAGAGAAGUCUGGUGAGGCUUUGGGAAGUGAGUGCCAGUCACAGCCAACCACAGCCAGCCACUCUGGACUAAUUUGGGCAAGCAAAUGGCCAAGCAUGUUGCUAACUACAUUUCUAAGAUACUGCUAGAAGAAGGAAAAGAGCAAAACCACCUUCCUGACCCUCUUCAACCUCGUGUUUUUGCACCUGUGUCGGUGUGUUGCAAAGCAGGGGGCAUUGCACAACUUAUUUGCCACCAAUCCCUCAGUUUGUUCACGGACCACACACUUCAUUAGCAUACGAUUUCCAAGUCAGUGGUGGUGGUUUCACAAUCAACAGCUGUGAGGGAAGGAAGGUGCCUGAGAAGCUCACACUAAGACAUUCCCAAAUUCCACAUUACUUUUGUCGAAACAAGUAAUUGCAAUGACUGAAGCAAUGUGGGGGAGACAAAUGACACUGGGAACUUCAAACCAUGUAUGAACAUAUUGGAAACUCCUUUGUGUAGUUUUCUAGAAUGUACGUGUCUGAUUCUGUCCUGACGGUAACCAAGUCUUGCCCUGGGGCCAAUUCAGCAUCCGUUAAGAGGAGGAAUUGCUAGGUGGAGGGAGAACAUAGCCCUUUCCAAAAAAGAAUUAUGACUUGAGAGAGAAUUCCUUAUUGGAGCCGGUGGGAGUGGGUGGAGAGGGCUAAGAUACAUAAUAAAAUAAGAAUGUGGAUAGAGAACAAACUGGUGGUUGUCAGAGAGGAGGGGUGAUGGAGAGACGGGUGAAAUAGGUGAAGGAAAUGAAGGGAUACAAACUUCCCAUUGUAAAAUAAAUGUCAUGGGGAUUAAAAGCAGAGCAUAAGGGAAUAUAGUCAAUAAUACUGUUUAUAUGGUGACUACAUUUAUCAUAGUGGGCAUUUUGUAAUGUAUAUAAUUGUCAGAUCACUACAUUGGAUACCUGAAACUAAUAUAAUAUUAUGUCAACUAUACGUCAAUGUAAAAAAAAAAUAAACACACUAUGCUGGAAGUUUCUACUAAAAAAGUGACAGUGUGGGCCUUCAGAUUUUCAAGGAGGAUACAAGAGGUAAAAUACUGGCUGGCUACAUGGGCUAUUGUGUUUUUGGGUUCUAUAAAGAACUAGCCUGGGUCUGGAAGCCCCAGGUGGGAGAUGCUGUUGAGACCGUGCAAGGGAGCAGGAGCACUAGCCUAAGGUCAGGUGAGGGAGGCACAAAAUUUGAAGGAGUGCCAAAAAAACCUCAAGAAUCAAGCAAUCAAGAAUUAUUUUUUUAACCAAAGAUAGAAAUUUUAACACAAUACUUAAUCAAGUUUCAUGAAAAACAAUCCACGAGGAACAAAAUAUCAAAAAUGUUACAUAAAAGCAAGCUGUUGCUCUUUGUCUGUAUCAUGACCCCGAGUUCCUCGGCUGCAGCCACGGUUGUUUCCAAUCAGCCCUUGGUUCCUGGGUCUGCGCUGCUGAUGCACCCCCCCCCCCCCCCGCCCCGCCCAAGUGGGUAUAUGAUGGUUGAUAAUGAUGGGCAAACAAAUAGGGCAUCACACGACUUUAUGUAUAGAUAGUUUUUUUAGUUGUAGAACUUUCACCAAUGUUUCCACUUGGUUCAAAGUCUGGGAGGAUAUCUUGGUUGGUGUCCGUAGGUGGGCACAUCAUUCCUUUGUCGCUGGUUCCAACAGGGCUCAGCCUGUCAUGCCGCAGAGAAGGAUGUGCUGUGAAUGCCGCAGAGGAGGGAAUAGCCAAGCACACUGUUACUGAAAGCUUGCUACACAGAGGGACUUUUGAGAAUUCAGGGUGAGUUGAUUUACAACUGACGGUCUGGGGAAUCGUUGGCUGCAAAUCCAUAGAAUGAGGACCCAGCACAAAAGAAACAGGGGACUCUGUGUGAUCAUGGAGCCCAGACGGUAGAAAGAGAGCCUUGGCUGCUGAGUCAGCCACUAAGCCUAGUCCUGCCACUGACUUCCCAUGUGAUUGCCUGCAUCAAACCCUUCCUGAGCCUCAGUUUCUACACCAGCAAGAUGAAGUGGUUCUCAUACCUGUUUUUGCUGGGAGCCCUUUCUCCAAAUAAACCUUAUGUGGCAGCUACAGGCAGAAGUAGAACUGAUCUGGUUGAACUUGGGGUGUGAACACCCUCACCUGUUCAACGUUUCCUGGUCCCCCACAGGGGCCUUUAUGGAAACCUCCUCCAUCAUCUCAGGGCUCUCCAAGCUGUGUUCGGGAAACACUGAUGCCAACUCUAGUUCUAACAUUCUACUCUAGCCCAGAAGGAAGCUCUGCCUGUUAUUUGCAUGGUGACAAUCUGACAGUGAAAUGUUUACCCAUUUUAAGAAACCGGAGGAGUCUCCAGCCUUUGGAUUGCGCUUAUGGGUGUGUCCUGUUCUGUUUCUGGGUUCUUCUGGCCUACAGGGCCCACGGAAGUAGCAGAAGCAUCAAGAGGAGUUAGUUAGCCUUGCUAUGGCCAGUACAAUUAUACAGUGGAGUGGGGCACUCUGCCAGGAUUUUAACAUGAAGCAGGCACCCCUGGGAACACUGACAAAUGACCAAGGGUUGUCUACACGUGGCCAGGAGCCAGCAGCAGCCAGCUGGGCCUUACUUCCUGCUGACUGUCAUAGUUCCAGACCUCUGAAUGUUCCAGAACUGAGAGUGAAUGAAUUCCAGUGGUAUUCAAAACAACAACAAGGUCUUUGUUGUCUUUCUUGAGAUUGCUAUCCUCUUGAUGAUGUUGGCUGUUAUUGAUCUUUCAAGGAUGUAACAGCCUACUCUUAAAACACAGGUGGCAAGGAAGCCACGGGAGCUAUAGAAAGGGAAGGAACUCCAAGCUCCGACCGAUCCAAGUUGGAACCCCACUGCCACCUCUUUACUAGUUGUAUGAUCUUGGUCUGGUUAUUGUUGUUGUUGUUGUUGUUGUUGUUGUUGUUGUUUUAACUUGUCUGAGCUUCAAAUUUCUUAGCUGUACAACGGAAAUGAAGCGUCAGAUAAAGCUGUAUUGAGCUCUAUACAUGGAAUUACAGGAAUAAAAUGUUGUUAGCAGGAAUUAGCCAGUGCUCAGUAAAUGUUCCCUUCCUUCCCCCGCCCCCCACUCUUUUCUGCAACUCUCAUCUCCUUAAAGAAAUAGGUCAAGAAAAGUUUUAUGUUUGUCAGCUCUGAGAGCUCUUGCGUGAGAUUAUGCUGAUUAUUUUUUUUCUUUUCCUAUUUUCCAUGUUUUCUAUAGUAAAUGUGUGUCAGGAGGCUUGAAGUAGCCCAGGAUCUAAACAAAUGCGAGGGUUGAGAGCAGAAUGGGAUUUGCAUCCUUGACAAAGUGCUAAUUUCUUUAACAUAUAAAGGGCUCCUAGGAAUUAAUAAAAGGAAGACCAACAACCCAAUAGAAUUCUGAGUAAAGGAGAUGAAUUGGCAGUUCAGAGAAUAGGAAAUGGAAAGGACUCUUAAACAUGUAAAAUAAUGCUUAUCAUCAUUCUGAGUAAGACCAAUAUAAAUUCAAAUUACACAAAGAUACCAUUUUUUCACCAAUCGGACUUGUAAAAAUACAAGUUUGAAAAUAUGUUCUGUUGGCAGGAUUCUACAAAGGGCAAUCUAAUACGUUUAUGUGUAUCACAGAUACGUCCAUGCCUGUGAAUUCAUUUGGAAAGAUCUCCAAGAUAUACACAACAAAGGUAAGCUAUGUAUAGUAGACUAUGAAAAAUAACCUACCUUUUAUGUAAAAGGGAGACAAAAAGGAAAACCUAUAUUUAUAUUAUUUGCCUGAUAUGCAACAAAAUCUGGAAAGAUAUGCUAAGAAAAGUGGUGGGAACUGGGCAGAUGACAGGGGUGGAAAGAAGACUUCACUACAUAUCUUUCAUUUAUUAUUAUUACUUUUGAGAGAGAGAGAGAGAGAGAGAGAGAGAACGAGCAGGAGAGAGGGAGAGAGAGAGAGAGAAAGGGAAUCUUAAGCAGGCUCCAAGCUGAGUGGGACCUGAUCUCAUUACCCUGAGAUCAUGGCCUGAGUGGAAAUCAAGACACUCAACUGACAGAGCCACCCAGAUUCCGUUUCACUGCAUUUAUUUUUAUAUUCUGUGAAUUUUUAAUUUUUGAAUGUAGCCCCAACUUUAAAAAAAUCUUUUCGAUAAACAAGUAUGUUAAAAAAAAAAGAAGAUGGAUGGGGCGCCUGGGUGGUUCAGUCAGUUAAGUGUCUGACUCUUGAUUUUGGCUCAGGUCAUGAUCUCAUAGUAGUGAGAUCGAGCCCCAUGUCUGGUUUUGAGCUGAGUGUGGAGCCUGCUUGAGAUUCUUUCUCUCUCUCUCUCUGUCUCUGCCUCUCUCUCCCUCUCCCCUUUCUCCCCCAUCUCUUUCAAAAUAAAAAGAGAAGGUGGCUAAUUUGUAUAGGCAAUCAAUAUUGACUGACAUAGCAUGUAUUAAUUUCUAAUCAGAUAAAAAACAAUUAAAAAAAUAAAGACAACCAUCUCCCAACAUAGAGACCUUUAUUCCUGACACACAGUAGGUAGAACAGUCUUCUACUUUGCUACAGUUUUGACUCUGCUGGAGAGUUUACCAAUACUUUACCAAAGCCAAAUUCCAUCAGUGCAUUACUUUUGUAACUUUUUCUUAAUCUAUGCCCUUUAUAUAACAUAGCAUCUACCUGUGAAGGCCUGUUUAUUAUUAUUAAAAAUAAUAGUGCAUCAUAAUUCCAUCACUCAGAAUAGUGGUGGCUUCAGAAUUUUUGUGUAGGAAGAGCUUAAAGGCAAGGAACUGGUUGGAGGUUGACAAUUAGGGAGGUGUGUUAAAGUCUCAUGUACAAAACACAUUUUCUUUAAAUUGAGCCAUGGUGAGACUUUGGAUGGUUCCAUCCCUGGGCAAGUACCUCCCCCCCCCCCACCCCAGUUUUCAAGCUGCCCCAGUUGAUAGCAUGGAGCACAGAGACAAAUUGUCCCAGACAAACCUUGCUCAAAUUACAGAUUUGUAAAGAAAAUAAAUGAUUGCUGUUGUUUUCUGUUACUAAGUUUGCGGUGGUUUGCUACACAGAGCCCAGAUCCCUUUUAUCCAGCCAAUGCAUGCAUCCUCCAGCUGCUGUGAAUGUGGGCUGCUAACUGUUUACAGCUGCUCCCUUCUCCAGAGAACUGCCCUGUUCUGGCUGGAGUCACAAGGGAGGUCACGUCCAGCACCCCCACCCCAGGGGCAGCCUGCAGCCAAUGACUGAUUGGUAAAAAAAAAAAAAAAAAAAAAAAGGUGGUCCCCUUCCCUCAAGGCAGAAUUGAUGCUAUGGUACAAUUCACACUCCAGUGCUUCCUAUUGGGUUAGACUACAGCAAGAUCCCCAGUGAGGCUGCCUCCUUGUCUAGCUACUUUCCCUACCCCAUCCUCUUCUCUCUUUCCCUUUCUCCUGAAAGCUUCAUCAGUGCAUCACAUGGGCUGUAAUCCUUGUCUCAAGCUCUGCAUCUAGGUGUUACCUUAAACAGGCAUUAAGGGAAGUUUUAAGAAGUGUAGGGGAGAAAUCUUUCCAAGCCAUCUCUUGAUGCCUCGCCUUCCCAGAGAUACCUUGGUUAAUAUUUUGGUGUGUGUGAAAUUAUCUAAUACUUGUAGAGCAUGUAGAACGUUCCCUGGCAAAUAGUAAGCACUCAAUUACCGCUAGCCCUUAUUAUCAUAUUCCCCCAGUGCUUUUUCUGUAUUUAAUAAUCAUAUCUAUUUAUUAAGCACAUACCAUGGGUCAGGCACCGUUCUGACGUAUUUCGCGUACAAUUCAAUUAGCCCUCACAGUAGUCCCAUCUAGUGGGUACUAUCGUCUCAAACGAGGCAACUGAGGCUCAGACAGGGUAAGUAACUGAUCCGAGGAUGUACAGCAAAAAACUGGCAGAACUGGAUGAGUUAUAUAAAUGUCUGCAUUAUAUCUUGAUCAUCAUUUCAGUGAUAACCUCUCUGUGGCCAACUGCUUCAGUGUGGGGCUGGAGGCUUUGCUGCUUUAAAGAACUGCAAGCUUUCAUAGUAAUGCACUCCAGCUGUGGCUAUUUCCACCCUGUCCUGGGAACUUCCCUCCUCAUAAUCUCAGAUGAUCUUUCUUCCUGGAAUGGCCUCACCUCUUCUCUCUACUUGUCCCAAUCCUAACCGUCCUUUAAGAGUUACAUCAAAUCUUAUCUUUCCAUGCAGUUUGCCCUGAUUUCUGUUGUACUUGCUCAUCUCUUCUGUAAAGACCUCUUACAACAUUUGCCGGAUGUCCAAGUCGUUUUGGUCCCUGAUAGUGGCCUGACACAUUCCCUUUCAAUAGAGGUUAUGUUUACGGACGGGCCUGUUUCCGGGAGGUGGACUGCAAGCUUUUUAAGGACAGGAUCAAGACUUAGUUGUUUGUUAUUUCUCUAGUAUCUAACGCAGUGCUUGCCACAAAGUAGAAUUCUUAACAAAAAUGUGUUCGUUGGAUAAAUGAAUCAAUAAGCUAUGUUAUGGGUGUGUGUGUGUUUCCUGUGUUUUUGUCUGGAUUGUAAGAUCCCUCAGGCCCAGACCCGCUUUUCAACGUUUAUUUAUUUUUGGGACAGAGAGAGACAGAGCAUGAAUGGGAGAGGGGCAGAGAGAGAGGGAAACACAGAAUCGGAAGCAGGCUCCAGGCUCUGAGCCAUCAGCCCAGAGCCUGACGCGGGGCUCGAACUCACGGAGCGCGAGAUCGUGACCUGGCUGAAGUCGGACGCUUAACCGACUGCGCCACCCAGGCACCCCAAGACCCGCUUUUCAAUGUCUUUUGUGACCUUCGUGUUCAGCAAAUGGUUGGUCCAGGGCAGAAAUUUCAUGAAACUGAACAGGAACUGUCUGGCCCAAAGAAUUGGUCACACUUCGGUCUUGCUCUGGGAAAAGGACGGCUCUCUUUCAAAGGGAAUCAGUCCCAUGUGACAUCCUACGUGGAAUUAGAGGAAUUUUGAAUCUCUGAGUUUGUUGCAUGGCCUGCCCUAUGUGUGCUAUUUCCAUAACUCUGCAUGUGACCAAAUGUCCUUGACUUGACCUUGUGGGAAUGUGUAAACCACGAGCUUCAAAGAGGGAUGUUUGCGGGAGGAGGGGAUCAUGUGACGUGGAACAAUCUUUGUUCGCAAUUCCCUGACUCAGGAGUGAUUUCUGAGAAGUGGCAAGAGGUGACUCUACAGAGAGCCUUGCCGGCCCCUACAAAGACAAGACUUUUUAUGAGGAUGGCACUCUGCCAGCCUGACAGGAAGUAGAAAACAAAGGGGCAGCUGACUCCAGGUCCCAUCCUGACCAGCAACAGCUUUUUAUCGGCUAAUUUUUUAGCAUAAAGCUUCUCCUUCAGGAGUUGAAAGGUGAGCUAAAGGAACGCUGGAAUGUUCCUUUGUACUGGAAGGCCAAAUUCAAUUAUUUCUAUAAAUAAAAACUAAUUGUUAAAAUGCAUCAAAGAGCUUACAAUUCAGUCUCUCAGUGCACACUUUUCGUCGUAAACUAUCUGACUCUCCUCAAGUUUAUCCAUUUUGUAAACACACAUGAUCAAUAUUAGGGUUUGUUCAAAGACACAUGUAUUUAUUUUCAAAGAAUAGGAAAAAAAGCAGUGAGGUACGGGGGGGUUAGGAAAGUUCAUUUUGCCCUGGAGAAUAUUUCAACCUUGCUUUUCAAAUGGGGCGCCCAGAUAGCUUCAUGUUCAACCUCAAGGUCACUGUGUGCACACUGCUUUAAGCCAGAAAAGAUGAUGGCGGCUCCUGGGUUUGGGGUCACGGUUGGGAUAGGGUAGGGAGAAAUUCUGGCCUCCACAGCUGUAGGAAGUGCUUGUUCGCUCUUAAUUUUGUUUACUUAAGAAGAGAAAAAGAAGUCCACGUAUCUCUUUGAAGCCCUGUGGGACUGUUUUCACUGUGAGCACACAGAGAAAGCCCAUGAUUGUUCCUGGAAUGCUGGUCUCACCAUUUAUUGUCCUUGGAUUAAAGCCUGCUUUGCAUUUGGGAUAAAGAUUCAUUCAUUCCUGUGCCAAGAAAUAAAGAAUUCUAUUGUCUUCCUGCCCAAAUUGUUUCAAGACGAUCUUUCUCUCUGAGACCGACAAGCCCAGAUAGCAUCUUGCUUGGCUCCACGAUCUGGUCUCCAAAGGAGAUGUUGUGCCCUUUUUUUUGUCAGAGCUUUCUCACCACAAUACCGUUACACAGAGCAGACCUGUUCCCCUCAGUACCAGGAGGCUCGCUCCGUUCACAAGGAUCCUUGACAACCUCUGCAGAUUGCCAACCCAGACUUACUGUAAUUCUGCACCACAAGAAUGGUUGUGUCACUUCAGUAGACAGAGUGAUGAUGAGCUCUCGGGGGCUGCUAACUCGAUCCACAGGGAAAAAUGAGAGUAGCUUUUUUGCAUGCUGCGGCAUGCUUCAUCCCAGAAUAUUCCUUGAUUAUUCACAAGAAUAAAGGCCAAUUUAAUUAAAAUGAACACAGAAGUGUGAAAAAUAAAGGGCAAAGAAAUUCUAAGUAAGCUGGGUAUCUCUUCAGAGGAAAACCACCCCCGGGAUUGCAGCCUAAACCAAUUCCUUUUUCAUUUCUAACAGAAUGUUCUUAUUCAUUUAGAGGGUUUAAUUCCGAUCGUCGUGACAGUGGGCACGUCGUCACUUCCACAUCUGCCCUCCUAAACCUUCCUCACUCCCCUCAAGCCUUUGCCUGCCAGCAGACCUACUGGCCUCCAACCUGUGAGGGAAGGUUGAGGCUGUCCCCCACCGUGUGCCUCUCUCUUUUCCUCCAGUUUCAGGCAAAGGCAGCCUUUUUCCAGGCUACUGCUGGUCCCUACUCUUGUGCUCUUCAUCCAAAGGUCUCCUCCAGGAGCUUGUCCCAAGUUAUCCCUGCUCUGUAUUGUCAUAUCCUUUUCUCCAUGAACCGGUCCAUUCUCAUAUCCUAUGAAAAUGCUUAAGCCACUCUUAUUUUUUAAAAACAUUCUCUUGGGGGCACCUGGGUGGCUCAGUCAGAUAAGUGUCUGACUCUUGGUUUUAGCUCAAGUCUUGGGAUUGACCCCUACAUUGGGGUCUGCACUGGGCAUGGAGACUGCUUGGGAUUCUCUCUCUGUCUCUUUCUCUCUCUCUCUCUACGCUCCUUCCCCACCUGCACUGUCUUGCUCUCAAAGUAAAUAAAUAAGCCUUAAAAAAAUUCUCUUAGAGCACCUGGGUGGCUCAGUUGGUUAGGCAUCUGACUCUUGACCUCGGCUCAGGUCAUUACUGCAUGAAGCCUGCUUGGGAUUCUCUCUUUCCCUUUCUCUCUGCCUCUCUCUCUCUCUCUUUCUCUCUUUCAAAAUAAAUAAACAAACAAAAAAAAUAAAAACAUUCUUACUCAACCUGUGUCUUUUCCCCCUUCAUCCCAGCUACUUCCCUUUCUCUUCCCUUCCCUUUCCAGAUCACAUCCUACAAAGGAUACUUUAUAUUUGACAUUUUACUUCUAACUACACUUAGCCAUUAUACUUCCCAUGACUGUGGUUUCCUCUUUAGACCUUGAACCUCCCCUACAACAACUUCCCCGUGCCCAGCCCCCAAUUCCAUGCCAGCCCCUUAUUACCAUGCCAGAAUGGAAUAAAUGUUCCUCUGAAUGAAUGAAUGAACUCUUACCAUUUCUAGUUGGAUAAGGGUAACUUACAAAUCUCAAGUAUUGACAACUGAAGAGCUUUUUCCUAGAAGAUAAAUCUGCUAUGAGAAAGGAACUAAAAGUCAUUGGGUUUACCCAAUAUUUUUAAUAAUCAAGAAUUUGAAUUUUCUCUUAUUUAGGGUUUGUGGAGUGUUUACUGAGUAUGAGAUAGCACAGAAACACACCCUGCUGUGAGUCAAAAUUACAAU
Molecule: long non-coding RNA, 32826 nt
Filed under: Lynx pardinus (Iberian lynx)
Lineage: Eukaryota; Metazoa; Chordata; Mammalia; Carnivora; Felidae
Source: RNAcentral